UCUUCCACUCAACGCUGAGCAGAGAGACACGAUGGAAAGAGGCCAGAGCCGCGGCGAAAUCCCAAGCUACUGUGGGUGGUCCAUCUUCACCGCUCUCUGUUGCUGUUGGCCUUUAGGAAUCGUUGCUCUGAUCUUCUCCAGCAAGGUCACAAUGGCCAGUGCUUCUGGACAAUUACAAGAAGCUGCUUCUGCAUCCCGCACCGCCAAAAUACUGAACAUCGUGGGAAUCGUGUGUGGAAUCAUUCUUCUUCUAAUCAUUACUUUCCAGUCUUCCAGACUGGUCUUCAAGAGCCACAACGAUAUUUCAUCCUACUGUGGGUGGUUCAUCUUCACUGGUCUCUGUUGCUGUUGGGCUUUAGGAAUUGCUGCUGUUAUCUGCUACUGCAAGGUGGACAUGGCCAAUGCUUCUAGAGAUUUCCAAGAAGCUGCUGAUGCAUCGAGCACUGCCAAGACCCUGAACAUUAUGGGAAUAAUCUGUGGAAUCAUUAUUCUUUUUGUGUGUGUCUACCAAUUCUGCCAAGGCCAAGAUUUUAUUUUUUCUAUCUAUUAUACACGGGAUUAGUAAAUGAAAUCAUUACUUUCUUCAAAUGAACAUAGCAAAAACUAUAAAAUGCCCGGGGUAUGUGCUGGUCAAAACCAAAUACAUGUAUGCACUGUCAGGUGAAAGGCUGUGUGAAAUUCUCACAUUCAUUGGUUCAGUUUCUGUGUUACAAACAGCAAAUGAUGGAACAUGGAUUUUGUGUAUUAACACUUGACAACAACAACUUAACAAAACAGUUGUAUUUUUUUUUGGGGGGGGGGGGGGUGUGAGUGUCUAAAAAAGGACUUAUGCAGCAGAAUUUUAACAGACACGUUUAUUAAAAAAUAAACCAGAGCUUUAGGUUAGUGAAACACAAUCUGUUACAGUACAUGUGAGGUAAAUACAAGAUUUAAAUGCAACAAAGUACAAGAAAGAAACACGGUGAGGGGGAAACUUUGCAGUACAACACGUCAUGACUGAGCAACAUGAGCAACACACCGUCUCCCACCCCCAGUCUGUAUCCUGUGGUCUGUGGUGUCAUGAAUGUGACCUACUUUGACGGAAACACAUCAUAUACAGCGAAGGAAGAGUGGAAAGUCUUGAUGGGCCUUUUUUCCUUUUUAAUCUAAUUAAUAGUCUAUAAACAACACACGUUCUACCUUGACCAAACAGUUACAGGACACCAGAUAAUCCUGUAGCUACAAUGAAGUUACUACACAAACGAUACAUACCGUACAUAUCAACAAGCUCGGUGUCAGUCAAAAACACGCACAAAGGAUGUUUGUGGUUCUAGCUGUUGCUAUUCUUUCUGAUUCCAGCCAUGGGAAAAUAAAGUUAUGGUCAGGUGACCAUUUCCUUUGCAUACAGAAAGUGAGCCUGUAAUCCUCCUCACUAUCUCACAAAACCUGCUCUGAACCACCGGAAAAACAGAGGGACAGAAAACAGUGAGAGUAAUUGAAAUCGGCUGUAAGAUUUCUGCAACCUGCUGUGUUUUAUUCAUUUCACAGACAAACUUCAGCAGAAAACACAGUGUAACAUACUGUUACAUUAAAGCAGCACCUGAAACCACGCCCAGAACAAACAUCAAGGUUUGGGUCACAGCCUCCGCUGGCUGAUGAAUCGACACACUGCAAACACUGAACUCUCAUCCACUCGACGUCGAGCAGAGAGACACGAUGGAAACAGGCCAGAGCCACGACUAUAUCCCAACCUACCGUGCAUGGUCCAUCUUCACCGCUCUCUGCUGCUGGUUGGCUUUAGGACUUGCUGCUCUGAUCUACUCCAACAAGGUCAAAUCGGCCAGUGCUUCUGGACAAUUACAAAAAGCUGCUUCUGCAUCCCGCACCACCAAAAUACUGAACAUCGUGGGAAUCGUGUGUUUGUUCAUUCUUCUUGCUUUAACCAUUACCUUCAAACUCUUGGAAUUAAAACAGUGAACCAAUAAAGUAUUGAUUCCCAAGCUUUUGUUUUUCUUUCUGUUAUACCUGGGUUAUACCUGGGUCUGUAUGCUCUGUUCUCAAGUCUUUGUAUCAUUACUUUUUUCAGGUCUUUCCUUAGCUUGAAUCAUGAAAUGUCCGUGGUAUGUGCUGGUAAAAAACAAAUACAUGUAUGCACUGUCACAUGACAGGCUGUAUUAAAUGCUCACAUUAUUCUUAUUGUUUUGGAACAUCGAAAAAAGACAUUUAAAAAAAUUUAAUGAAAAAAUGUUAU
Salarias fasciatus (jewelled blenny) is the source of this 2230-nucleotide long non-coding RNA. RefSeq lists it as uncharacterized. The record is from RefSeq and is a predicted model, not a curated record. The transcript is spliced from 4 exons. NCBI's taxonomy places the organism in Eukaryota, Metazoa, Chordata, Actinopteri, Blenniiformes, Blenniidae.